CAAAAUACUGUAACUUCUUGCACAAACAAGCAUUUUUAAAAACUAUACCACAAGUUCUACCCUCUGGACUGAAUGAGGGAGUUUAGUUUUAAGCUGCCUUUAGCAAUAU
Long non-coding RNA from Haliotis rubra (blacklip abalone), 109 nucleotides. RefSeq lists it as uncharacterized. The record is from RefSeq and is a predicted model, not a curated record. NCBI's taxonomy places the organism in Eukaryota, Metazoa, Mollusca, Gastropoda, Lepetellida, Haliotidae. The transcript has 3 exons.